RNAcentral lists this ribosomal RNA (501 nucleotides) under uncultured bacterium. RNAcentral's name for it is "partial 16S ribosomal RNA". It matches the Rfam family "Bacterial small subunit ribosomal RNA", at positions 29 to 523 of the family's 1533-position model. The record is from RNAcentral.
AACGAACGCUGGCGGCAGGCUUAACACAUGUAAGUCGAGCGGAGAUGAGGUGCUUGCACCUUAUCUUAGCGGCGGACGGGUGAGUAAUGCUUAGGAAUCUGCCUAUUAGUGGGGGACAACAUUCCGAAAGGAAUGCUAAUACCGCAUACGUCCUACGGGAGAAAGCAGGGGAUCUUCGGACCUUGCGCUACUAGAUGAGCCUAAGUCGGAUUAGCUAGUUGGUGGGGUAAAGGCCUACCAAGGCGACGAUCUGUAGCGGGUCUGAGAGGAUGAUCCGCAACACUGGGACUGAGACACGGCCCAGACUCCUACGGGAGGCAGCAGUGGGGAAUAUUGGACAAUGGGGGAAACCCUGAUCCAGCCAUGCCGCGUGUGUGAAGAAGGCCUUAUGGUUGUAAAGCACUUUAAGCGAGGAGGAGGCUACUGAGACUAAUACUCUUGGAUAGUGGACGUUACUCGCAGAAUAAGCACCGGCUAACUCUGUGCCAGCCGCCGCAGUAA